GACGAACGCUGGCGGCGUGCUUAACACAUGCAAGUCGAACGGAAAGGCCCUGCUUUUGUGGGGUGCUCGAGUGGCGAACGGGUGAGUAACACGUGAGUAACCUGCCCUUGACUUUGGGAUAACUUCAGGAAACUGGGGCUAAUACCGGAUAGGAGCUCCUGCUGCAUGGUGGGGGUUGGAAAGUUUCGGCGGUUGGGGAUGGACUCGCGGCUUAUCAGCUUGUUGGUGGGGUAGUGGCUUACCAAGGCUUUGACGGGUAGCCGGCCUGAGAGGGUGACCGGCCACAUUGGGACUGAGAUACGGCCCAGACUCCUACGGGAGGCAGCAGUGGGGAAUAUUGCACAAUGGGCGGAAGCCUGAUGCAGCAACGCCGCGUGCGGGAUGACGGCCUUCGGGUCGUAAACCGCUUUCGCCUGUGACGAAGCGUGAGUGACGGUAAUAGGUAAAGAAGCACCGGCUAACUACGUG
RNAcentral lists this ribosomal RNA (468 nucleotides) under uncultured bacterium. Its description in RNAcentral is "partial 16S ribosomal RNA". It matches the Rfam family "Bacterial small subunit ribosomal RNA", at positions 28 to 507 of the family's 1533-position model. The record is from RNAcentral.